This is a long non-coding RNA of Gallus gallus (chicken), 402 nucleotides long. Lineage: Eukaryota; Metazoa; Chordata; Aves; Galliformes; Phasianidae. The record is from Ensembl.
CCAAUGUGUCCCACUGUGUCCCAACGCGUUCCUAUGGGGCGCUGUGGGUCCAAAUGUGUCCCUAUGGGUCCCAAUGUGUUCCUAUGUGUCCCAAUGGGUCCCUAUGUGUCCCUAUGGGUCCCUAUGGGUCCCAAUGUGUCCCUAUGGAUUCCUAUGGGGCGCUGUGGGUCCCUAUGGGUCCGAACGUGUUCCUAUGGGUCCGAAUGUGUCCCUAUGUGUCCCUAUGGGUCCCUAUGGGUCCCAACAGAUUCCUAUGGGGCGCUGUGGAUUCCUAUGGGGCGCUGUGGGUCCCAACGUGUCCCACUGUGUCCCUUAUGGGUCCCCAUCCGUCCCAAUGCGUCCCACUGCGUCCCAACGCGUUCCUAUGGGGCGCUGUGGGUCCCUAUGGGUCCCAAUGGGUCC